This 389-nucleotide ribosomal RNA is filed under the name uncultured bacterium. RNAcentral's name for it is "bacterial SSU rRNA". It matches the Rfam family "Bacterial small subunit ribosomal RNA", at positions 505 to 898 of the family's 1533-position model. The record is from RNAcentral.
GUGCCAGCAGCCGCGGUAAUACGUAGGUGGCGAGCGUUAUCCGGAAUUAUUGGGCGUAAAGGGAGCGCAGGCGGCUUAUUAAGUCUGAGGUUAAAUCUUGGGGCUCAACCCCAUGAUGCCUUAGAAACUGGUGAGCUAGAGUGCAGGAGAGGUGAGUGGAAUUCCAUGUGUAGCGGUAAAAUGCGUAGAUAUAUGGAGGAACACCGGUGGCGAAGGCGGCUCACUGGCCUGUAACUGACGCUGAGGCUCGAAAGCGUGGGGAGCAAAUAGGAUUAGAUACCCUAGUAGUCCACGCCGUAAACGAUGGAUACUAAGUGUCGGGAUAGAAUCUCGGUGCUGUAGUUAACGCAAUAAGUAUCCCGCCUGGGGAGUAUGCGCGCAAGCGUAAA